Molecule: non-coding RNA, 112 nt
Organism: Acanthosepion pharaonis
Lineage: Eukaryota; Metazoa; Mollusca; Cephalopoda; Sepiida; Sepiidae
Source: the annotation of a GenBank genome assembly
UACGAUUAUAUCAUGUGGAAACACCUGUACCCGUAUAUCACCGAAGUUAAGCAUCGUCGAGCCUUGUCAGUACCUAGAUGGGUGUCCGCUUGGGAAUAUCAUUUGCUGUAAG